GACGAACGCUGGCGGCGUGCUUAACACAUGCAAGUCGAACGGAAAGGCCCUGCUUUUGUGGGGUGCUCGAGUGGCGAACGGGUGAGUAACACGCGAGUAACCUGCCCUUGACUUUGGGAUAACUUCAGGAAACUGGGGCUAAUACCGGAUAGGAGCUCCUGCUGCAUGGGGGGGGUUGGAGAGUUUCGGCGGUUUGGGAUGGACUAGCGGCUUAUCAGCUUGUUGGUGGGGUAGUGGCUUACCAAGGCUUUGACGGGUAGCCCGCCUGGGAGGGUGGCCGGCGUCCUUGGGCCUGAGGUACGGCCCAGACUCCUACGGGCCGCAGCAGUGGGGAAUAUUGCACAGUGGGCGGGAGCCUGAUGCAGCAACGCCGCGUGCGGGAUGCCGGCCUUCGGGUUGUGAACCGCUUUCGCCUGUGACGAAGCGUGAGUGACGGUAAUGGGUAAAGAAGCACCGGCUAACUACGUG
RNAcentral lists this ribosomal RNA (468 nucleotides) under uncultured bacterium. RNAcentral's name for it is "partial 16S ribosomal RNA". It matches the Rfam family "Bacterial small subunit ribosomal RNA", at positions 28 to 507 of the family's 1533-position model. The record is from RNAcentral.